This 650-nucleotide ribosomal RNA is filed under the name Aphis glycines (soybean aphid). RNAcentral's name for it is "12S ribosomal RNA". Lineage: Eukaryota; Metazoa; Arthropoda; Insecta; Hemiptera; Aphididae. The record is from RNAcentral.
UAAAUAUUAAAGAAAUUUAGAUUUAAUUAUUAAUUUAAGUAUAAACUAAAUAUGUGCCAGCAGUUGCGGUUAAACAUAAUAUACAAGUAAAAUAGUUUGGUUAUUAGUAUAUAAAUAUAAUUUAUAAUUUAAUUUUUUUUUAAAAAGUAAAAUUUAAUUAAAUAUUAUUAUUAUAAUUAUUUUAUUCUAUUAAAUUUUAUUUAAAACUAGGAUUAGAUACCCUAUUAUAAAAAUUUAAAUUAAUUUACUAAAAAAUUAAUAGUUAAGUUCUUUAAAUUUAAAAAAUUUGGCGGUAUUUUAGUCUUAUUAGAGGAACCUGUUUAUUAAUUGAUAAUCCACGAUUAAUUUUACUUAUUUUAAUUAAUUCAUAUAUCGCUGUCAUGAAUAUAUUUAAAAAUUUAUUUUCUUUUUUUAUUUUUAUAAUUUAUGUUAAGUCAAGAUGUGGUUUAUAAAUAAGAAUAUAAUGGGUUACAAUAAAUUUAAUUUUUGGAUUUUAAAUGAAAAUUAAAAUGAAAUUGGAUUUAAUAGUAAAUUUAUUUAUUUAAUUAAUAUGAAUAAAGAUCUAAAAUAUGUACAUAUUGCCCGUCAUUCUUAUUAAAAAUAAGACAAGUCGUAACAAAGUAAAUGUACUGGAAAGUGUAUUUAGAAAG